GCAAAAGACAACUGUGGUUUCAAAUGUGAGAAAGAAGCAUCAUGAUUUUGAAAAUAUAAUGGGAAAAACAAAUUUUCCCCACUCUAUGGUUGAUCUGAAUAGUAAAAAAGCUACCUGUGGUUAAUUUAGGUUGCAUGCUGAGUUUAUUUUUGUGCAAUGGUGAAAUGGUAGAAGCCAGUUUUAAAAAUUCUUUUUAAGAAAACAGAUUUCAUUUGUUUUAUAAUACCUACAUCAUGUGAACUUAGAGUUAUUUUUAGUUUUGAUUUGCCUCUGUUUAAUCUUAAACCAGUUUCCCUUGUUUUUUAAAGUGGAAAAUCUUACCCAUUAUUCAAGUGAUGCAUAAUACCUUAUAUAUAGCAAGCCCUCAGUAACAGCAGAUGGUUGAGGGGCAAAGAUGAUGCAUGGCUUGUUUGAGGUCACAAAGUUAGAACUAAAAAAAAAUAUGCUGAAUUAUUUUUCCAGUGUCUUUUCUUUCCAUGAAUUCAAACUGUUCCCUUCCUCCAAGCCUGAGCUGAAGUCCUCCAUUAUCUUUGAAGCCAUCUCCAAUUUCCCCCAUUUCUGUGACCCUUUAGUAUCAGUACCAUGUGACUUACCAGAUAUUCAUGUGAUACUUUGUAAAUUUGCUAAUAUUUAUGCCACUUGAAAUAAUGACUUCCUUAAUUUGCUUAUAAACUCUUGAGGUCAGGGACUAUAUCUUUUAUCUGUAAUAUAGUGACACCCACGCCCCUUCUCCUAAAAAAACUAGAUCAGUGUUAGAUUCCAGAAAGCUAUCCGGGAAAUUUUAAAUUUAUUUAUUUAUUCUAAUUUGUUAUACAUGACAGCAGAAUACAUUUCAAUUCAUAGAACAUAUAUAGAACUCAAUUUUUCAUGUCUCUGAUUAUACACAAAGUAGAGUCACACCAUUCGUGUCUUCAUACAUGUUCCUAGGGUAAUGAUGUCCAUCUCAUUCUACCCUCUUUCCUACCCCCAUGCCCAUCCUCUCUUCUUCUCCCUCCUCUUUGCCCUAUCUAAAGUUCCUCCAUUCCUCCCAUGUUCUCUCAUCCCCCACCCCCAUUAUGGAUCAGCAUCCACAUAUCAGAGAAAAUAUUUGGUCUUGGGUUUUUUGGGAUUGGCUAACUUCACUUAGCAUGAUAUUCUCCAACUCGAUCCAUUUCCCUGCAAAUAUCAUGAUUUUUUUCUCUUUUAAUGCUGAGUAAUAUUCCAUUGUAUAUAUAUACCACAGUUUCUUUGUCCAUUCAUCUAUAAAAGGGCAUCUAGGUUGGUCCCAUAAUUUAGCUAUUGUGCAUUGUGCUGUUAUAAACAUUGAUGUGGCUGCAUCACUUGUAGUAUGCUGUUUUUAAGUCCUUUGAGUAUAAACCAAGGAGUGGGAUAGCUGGGUCAAAUGGUGGUGUAAUUCCAAGUUUUCCAAGGAAUCUCCAUACUGCUUUCUAGAUUGGCUGCACAAAUUUGCAGUCCCACCUGCAAUGUAUGAGUGUGCCUUUUCCCCCACAUCCUCGCCAAGACUUAUUGUUGUUUGUAUUCUUAAUAGCUUCCAUUCUGACUAGAUCGAGAUGAAAUCUUAAUGUAGUUUUCAUUUGCAUUUAUCUAAUUGGUAAAGAUGUUGGACAUUUUUUCAUGUAUUUGUUGAUUGAUUGUUUAUCAUCUUGUGAGAAGUGUCUGUUCAGUUCCUUGGCCCAUUUAUUGAUUGUUAUGAUCUGAUUGUUCCCUAUUUUGUAAGAUGUUUUUCUACUGCUACUGCCAACAUGACCCUGUCUAUACACUUAUGUUUAGACUUUAAGUCUUAAGUUUACAUCUCUUUAAGUAUGUUAAUUAAAUGUGUCCCCAUUGGAUAAACAACUCAAUUGAUUUAAUCCUGCAAAAUAGCCUUGUUAAAAUAAGUACUUUGAUUUAUGUUUCGGAAUUUAAAGGUAUUCCAGAUGCAUAAGAUGUAUAGGAGCAGAAAGGAAGAAUGAGAAUUUAUUUGAGGCAACUCCUUGUAGUAAUGUUAAUUUAUCAC
RNAcentral lists this long non-coding RNA (1996 nucleotides) under Marmota monax (woodchuck). The record is from RNAcentral. Lineage: Eukaryota; Metazoa; Chordata; Mammalia; Rodentia; Sciuridae.